GAUGAACGCUGGCGGCGUGCCUAAUACAUGCAAGUCGAGCGAACGGACGAGAAGCUUGCUUCUCUGAUGUUAGCGGCGGACGGGUGAGUAACACGUGGAUAACCUACCUAUAAGACUGGGAUAACUUCGGGAAACCGGAGCUAAUACCGGAUAAUAUUUUGAACCGCAUGGUUCAAAAGUGAAAGACGGUCUUGCUGUCACUUAUAGAUGGAUCCGCGCUGCAUUAGUUAGUUGGUAAGGUAACGGCUUACCAAGGCAACGAUGCAUAGCCGACCUGAGAGGGUGAUCGGCCACACUGGAACUGAGACACGGUCCAGACUCCUACGGGAGGCAGCAGUAGGGAAUCUUCCGCAAUGGGCGAAAGCCUGUCGGAGCAACGCCGCGUGAGUGAUGAAGGUCUUCGGAUCGUAAAACUCUGUUAUUAGGGAAGAACAUAUGUGUAAGUAACUGUGCACAUCUUGACGGUACCUAAUCAGAAAGCCACGGCUAACUACGUG
Molecule: ribosomal RNA, 497 nt
Filed under: uncultured bacterium
Lineage: Bacteria
Description: partial 16S ribosomal RNA
Rfam family: Bacterial small subunit ribosomal RNA
Source: RNAcentral